This 959-nucleotide long non-coding RNA is filed under the name Rattus norvegicus (Norway rat). RNAcentral describes it as "long non-coding RNA NONRATT021548". Lineage: Eukaryota; Metazoa; Chordata; Mammalia; Rodentia; Muridae. The record is from RNAcentral.
AUAACUGGCACAGACCAGAGACAAGGCCUCACGUCCAGAGGAGAUGGAUUAGAACUGAAUGUGGUCAGUCAUAGAAGGCUUUCUGGAGACUCGGAGCCCUGUUCCCUCCUGGGGUCCAUAAGGAGGUUAGUGGAUGUGAACAAGGGGGCACAUUUGGAACUGAAAACCCCAGGAGGCGCCCAAGGACUGGUACCACCUUGCCAGGCUGCUGGGUUAUCUUCCAGGGAACUAUUGCGCUUGCUGUGUCCCCGAACUCCUGAGCCACCUCGGGCUUUAGUGUGUUUUCACAGCCUCUCUGGUGCUUUGGAGUCCAUCUAAGAAGUGCCAAAGACCUGCAGCCCAUGAUCACCAUCAGCACAGAGCAGCGGGGAAGGGAAAGGCUUUAAUCUAAGCUCUCUGUCACGGAUCUGUUAGCACGGGCAAUAACCGACAGUGAAUCAGGCAGCACUGUACCUGUGAGCCAUCCACCACAAAAGAGAAGUAGCAGCAGGUCCCCACUAGAGGAGGAGAGCAGCCUGGAAAGCUUACCACCACCUCAGGAGGACAUGGUGCUGCACCCCUGCAAUCCCAGCACAUGGGACGUGAAAGCAGGAGGGCCAGGAGUUCAAGGCCAGCCUGGCACAUAAGAGACCCCGUCUUAAAACAAAACAAACCAAACAACAACAACGACAAUAACAAUAAUUUAGCAACUAGGCAGCCCUUGUUCAGGAAGCCCCUGCAAAUGCCACCUCCUGCACAAGAACCUUCCACUUCCACCAGGGGGCGCAGAGGUGGCGUUUGCUGUGUGCUGGGAAGCUACUCCUAGACUGGCUUCUGUGCCAAAUCCUAAGAAGGGUGAGAUAAGGCUGUAGAUUCUGCUCAGUAGUGAAAAGUAGUUACUGUUUUUGCAAAACAAAACAAAACAAAACAAAACAAAAACAAAAACAAAAAAACAAAACAAAAACAAAAAACAAAAACAA